GUGGGGAAUAUUGGACAAUGGGCGAAAGCCUGAUCCAGCGAUUCUGCGUGAAGGAUGAAGCCUUGUGGGGUGUAAACUUCUUUUCUGGGAGAAGACGAAUGACGGUAUCUCAGGAAUAAGAGACGGCUAACUACGUGCCAGCAGCCGCGGUAAUACGUAGGUCUCGAGCGUUAUCCGGAAUUACUGGGCGUAAAGCGUCUGUAGCCGGAUAUAUAAGUCUGUCUUUAAAUACUCUGAUUCAAUCGGAGAAAAGGGAUAGAUACUGUAUAUCUAGAGGAUUUUAGAGGUUAGUGGAAUUUCCGGUGGAGCGGUGAAAUGCGUUGAUAUCGGAAGGAAUGCCGAAAGCGAAAGCAGCUAACUAUAAAAUAUCUGACGGUCAGAGACGACAGCUUGGGGAGCGAACGGGAUUAGAUACCCCUGUAGUCC
This 426-nucleotide ribosomal RNA is filed under the name uncultured bacterium. Its description in RNAcentral is "partial 16S ribosomal RNA". It matches the Rfam family "Bacterial small subunit ribosomal RNA", at positions 354 to 796 of the family's 1533-position model. The record is from RNAcentral.